Molecule: long non-coding RNA, 228 nt
Filed under: Elaeis guineensis (African oil palm)
Lineage: Eukaryota; Viridiplantae; Streptophyta; Magnoliopsida; Arecales; Arecaceae
Description: long non-coding RNA (EGUI_LNC026693)
Source: RNAcentral
GUACCCUCAGUGCCAUGGCAAUGCUCUUAUUUGACUAUGUUUGAUAGGAGAAGGCUUCUGCGACUAAAUAUUUUUAUAUUAAAUUAACUUGUACAACUAGAUGAUUUUUCCUAUGGUUAAUCAUAGUUAGCAUUUAUUAGAGAACCACCUGGAAUGAUUGAUGUGUGGAGUUUAGGUUUGCACCCAGUGAUUUAACCUAAACAACUUUUUUCCCAUUAAAUCAUGUUU